RNAcentral lists this ribosomal RNA (491 nucleotides) under uncultured bacterium. RNAcentral's name for it is "bacterial SSU rRNA". It matches the Rfam family "Bacterial small subunit ribosomal RNA", at positions 30 to 521 of the family's 1533-position model. The record is from RNAcentral.
AGUGAACGCUGGCGGCAGGCCUAACACAUGCAAGUCGAACGGCAGCACGGCAGUAGCAAUACUGUGGGUGGCGAGUGGCGGACGGGUGAGGAAUACAUCGGGAUCUACCCUGUUGUGGGGGAUAACGUAGGGAAACUUACGCUAAUACCGCAUAAGAACUGAGGUUGAAAGCGGCGGACCGCAAGGCGUCGCGCGAUUGGAUGAACCGAUGUCCGAUUAGCUAGUUGGCGGGGUAAAGGCCCACCAAGGCGACGAUCGGUAGCUGGUCUGAGAGGACGACCAGCCACACUGGAACUGAGACACGGUCCAGACUCCUACGGGAGGCAGCAGUGGGGAAUAUUGCGCAAUGGGGGGAAACCCUGACGCAGCCACGCCGCGUGAGUGAUGAAGGCCUUCGGGUUGUAAAGGCUCUGUCGGGAGGGACGGAAGGGGAAACCCGUAGACGGUACCUCGCAAGAAGCACCGGCUAACUCUGUGCCAGCAGCCGCGGU